RNAcentral lists this transfer RNA (75 nucleotides) under Candidatus Cloacimonadota bacterium. RNAcentral's name for it is "tRNA-Ile". It matches the Rfam family "tRNA". From Rfam's summary of the family: Transfer RNA (tRNA) molecules are approximately 80 nucleotides in length. Their secondary structure includes four short double-helical elements and three loops (D, anti-codon, and T loops). Further hydrogen bonds mediate the characteristic L-shaped molecular structure. tRNAs have two regions of fundamental functional importance: the anti-codon, which is responsible for specific mRNA codon recognition, and the 3' end, to which the tRNAs corresponding amino acid is attached (by aminoacyl-tRNA synthetases). tRNAs cope with the degeneracy of the genetic code in two manners: having more than one tRNA (with a specific anti-codon) for a particular amino acid; and 'wobble' base-pairing, i.e. permitting non-standard base-pairing at the 3rd anti-codon position. Lineage: Bacteria; Pseudomonadati; Candidatus Cloacimonadota. The record is from RNAcentral.
GGGCUUGUAGCUCAGUCUGGUUAGAGCACCGUUCUGAUAAAGCGGGGGUCGGUGGUUCAAGUCCACCCAGGCCCA